GCCCCAAACCAAUUGAUACACAAUAGAUCAAGAACUUCAGGGGUGCUUCUGUCAGUCUUUCUGAACUAAGCUUCGCUAUAAUAAAUUGAGCCUCCUGUGUCAAGGAGGUCUUGGUACAGCACGUGCCAAUAGCUAUGCACUGAACUGCUGGGUAUUUCAAACCUUGAUUUUAUUGAAGCUUGCAAAUAAUUAUGGUGAUUCAAUUCAAUCUUUUAGUUCCUAGAACCUUCCGGUGCACAAUUUUGGAAG
RNAcentral lists this long non-coding RNA (249 nucleotides) under Elaeis guineensis (African oil palm). RNAcentral's name for it is "long non-coding RNA (EGUI_LNC030430)". Lineage: Eukaryota; Viridiplantae; Streptophyta; Magnoliopsida; Arecales; Arecaceae. The record is from RNAcentral.